GUGGGGAAUUUUCCGCAAUGGGCGAAAGCCUGACGGAGCAACGCCGCGUGAGGGAGGAAGGUCUUUGGAUUGUAAACCUCUUUUCUCAAGGAAGAAGUUCUGACGGUACUUGAGGAAUCAGCCUCGGCUAACUCCGUGCCAGCAGCCGCGGUAAUACGGGGGAGGCAAGCGUUAUCCGGAAUUAUUGGGCGUAAAGCGUCCGCAGGUGGUCAGCCAAGUCUGCCGUCAAAUCAGGUUGCUUAACGACCUAAAGGCGGUGGAAACUGGCAGACUAGAGAGCAGUAGGGGUAGCAGGAAUUCCCAGUGUAGCGGUGAAAUGCGUAGAGAUUGGGAAGAACAUCGGUGGCGAAAGCGUGCUACUGGGCUGUAUCUGACACUCAGGGACGAAAGCUAGGGGAGCGAAAGGGAUUAGAAACCCGGGUAGUCC
This 427-nucleotide ribosomal RNA is filed under the name uncultured bacterium. Its description in RNAcentral is "bacterial SSU rRNA". It matches the Rfam family "Bacterial small subunit ribosomal RNA", at positions 354 to 796 of the family's 1533-position model. The record is from RNAcentral.